Molecule: long non-coding RNA, 749 nt
Organism: Nematostella vectensis (starlet sea anemone)
Lineage: Eukaryota; Metazoa; Cnidaria; Anthozoa; Actiniaria; Edwardsiidae
Exons: 3
Source: RefSeq, a predicted model, not a curated record
AGUCAGACCAAAACUUCAAUGUGGUGGAAAGCAAUAACGACGAACGCGUCUUUAUCUACGCACUGACCUUUGCAGAGUUAGGCUUACAAAAAGAUCAAGGAGAAUAAAAGAAACAGAGAAAUAUAAAUAGAAUGAAUAAAGAGGUGGAAACACGACGGAAAUUCAUUCAAGUGUGGCAAGGAUAUUUAUAUUUGCAGCUGGCAUUUUGUCUACGAAAAUGUCACCACAGAAGAUAAUCCUGAUCCUAUACCUGCAGAUGUCAGUAAGGGAAGGGUUGAACGAACGAAAUUUCAAGCGAAAGGCGUGUUUGAGCGUUGGACAGAGAUAAAUUGCCUUCACAAAACAGCAGCGAAAACCGGCUUCAUCGCCAGUCGGAUAAAUCUGAACAAGAAAAUGCAGCCUUGAUAGAUUAGAGGUAAUCAGUGGUUGAAGAUCUCAUUCAAGGCUCAUUCAAGUGCGGCAAGGACAGUUUUCUCCACCCGGAAAACACAUCAUUCAGUAGUUCGGGCAACGUUCUCGGCGGGAAAAAAUUAAAUCGUCGCAAUCUUCAACUACCAACGGCCUGAAAUCUAAUAAUGCCCUAGCCGAUGCAUGUUUUUUUACACGUCUGGCAAUGAGUGUCACCACAGGCUUACCAACCUCUCAGUCAGUCUCCAGUAAACCCCAGUAACUAGCUCGAAUAUUUUCACUAUUGAUCACCUCCUGUAAUUGUCCUAUAAUUGUCUUAUAUCUUAGAAUAAAGGUCACAA